CGCGUAGGCGGGAUAUUAAGUCUCUUGUCAAAGUGCGGGGCUCAACCCCGUGAUGCGGGAGAAACUAAUAUUCUUGAGUGCCGGAGAGGAAAGCGGAAUUCCCAGUGUAGCGGUGAAAUGCGUAGAUAUUGGGAGGAACACCAGUGGCGAAGGCGGCUUUCUGGACGGUGUCUGACGCUGAGGCGCGAAAGCCAGGGGAGCGAACGGGAUUAGAUACCCCGGUAGUCCUGGCCGUAAACGAUGGGUACUAGGUGUAGGGGGUAUCGACCCCUCCUGUGCCGGAGUUAACGCAAUAAGUACCCCGCCUGGGGAGUACGGCCGCAAGGUUGAA
RNAcentral lists this ribosomal RNA (331 nucleotides) under uncultured bacterium. RNAcentral's name for it is "bacterial SSU rRNA". It matches the Rfam family "Bacterial small subunit ribosomal RNA", at positions 568 to 898 of the family's 1533-position model. The record is from RNAcentral.